Molecule: ribosomal RNA, 119 nt
Filed under: Helianthus annuus (common sunflower)
Lineage: Eukaryota; Viridiplantae; Streptophyta; Magnoliopsida; Asterales; Asteraceae
Source: RNAcentral
GGUUGCGAUCAUACCAUCACUAAUGCACCGGAUCCCAUCAGAACUCCGCAGUUAAGCGUGCUUGGGCGAGAGUAGUACUAGGAUGGGUGACCCACUGGGAAGUCCUCGUGUUGCAACCC